Molecule: ribosomal RNA, 1368 nt
Filed under: Brinjal little leaf phytoplasma
Lineage: Bacteria; Bacillati; Mycoplasmatota; Mollicutes; Acholeplasmatales; Acholeplasmataceae
Description: bacterial SSU rRNA
Rfam family: Bacterial small subunit ribosomal RNA
Source: RNAcentral
GGGACCUCUUAAAAGGAGGUUUUUAGUGGCGAACGGGUGAGUAACACGUAAGUAACCUGCCUUUAAGACGAGGAUAACAACCGGAAGGUUACUAAGACUGGAUAGGAAACAAAAAGGCAUCUUUUUGUUUUUAAAAGACCUUCUUACGAAGGUAUGCUUAAAGAGGGGCUUGCGCCACAUUAGUUAGUUGGUAGAGUAAAAGCCUACCAAGACGAUGAUGUGUAGCUGGACUGAGAGGUUGAACAGCCACAUUGGGACUGAGACACGGCCCAAACUCCUACGGGAGGCAGCAGUAGGGAAUUUUCGGCAAUGGAGGAAACUCUGACCGAGCAACGCCGCGUGAACGAUGAAGUAUUUCGGUAUGUAAAGUUCUUUUAUUGAAGAAGAAAAAGUAGUGGAAAAACUAUAUUGACGUUAUUCAAUGAAUAAGCCCCGGCUAACUAUGUGCCAGCAGCCGCGGUAAGACAUAGGGGGCGAGCGUUAUCCGGAAUUAUUGGGCGUAAAGAGCUUGUAGGCGGUUUGUCGCGUCUGCUGUGAAAGGCCGGGGCUUAACUCCGUGUAUUGCAGUGGGUACGGGCAGACUAGAGUGCAGUAGGGGAGACUGGAAUUCCUGGUGUAGCGGUAAAAUGUGUAAAUAUAUGGAGGAACACCAGAAGCGUAGGCGGCUUGCUGGGUCUUUACUGACGCUGAGGCACGAAAGCGUGGGUAGCAAACAGGAUUAGAUACCCUGGUAGUCCACGCCGUAAACGAUGAGUACUAAGUGUCGGGGUAAAACUCGGUACUGAAGUUAACACAUUAAGUACUCCGCCUGAGUAGUACGUACGCAAGUAUGAAACUUAAAGGAAUUGACGGGACUCCGCACAAGCGGUGGAUCAUGUUGUUUAAUUCGAAGAUACACGAAAAAUCUUACCAGGUCUUGACAUACUCUGCAAAGCUAUAGAAAUAUAGUGGAGGUUAUCAGGGAUACAGGUGGUGCAUGGUUGUCGUCAGUUCGUGUCGUGAGAUGUUAGGUUAAGUCCUAAAACGAACGCAACCCUUGUCGUUAAUUGCCAGCACAUAAUGGUGGGGACUUUAACGAGACUGCCAAUUAAACAUUGGAGGAAGGUGAGGAUUACGUCAAAUCAUCAUGCCCCUUAUGAUCUGGGCUACAAACGUGAUACAAUGGCUGUGACAAAGAGUAGCUGAAACGCGAGUUUUUAGCCAAUCUCAAAAAAGCAGUCUCAGUUCGGAUUGAAGUCUGUAACUCGACUUCAUGAAGUUGGAAUCGCUAGUAAUCGCGAAUCAGCAUGUCGCGGUGAAUACGUUCUCGGGGUUUGUACACACCGCCCGUCAAACCACGAAAGUUAGCAAUGCCCGAAAGCAGUAGCU